GCAGGCGGUCCUUUAAGUCUGAUGUGAAAUCUCGCGGCUCAACCGCGAGCGGUCAUUGGAAACUGGGGGACUUGAGUGCAGAAGAGGAGAGCGGAAUCCACGUGUAGCGGUGAAAUGCGUAGAGAUGUGGAGGAACACCAGUGGCGAAGGCGGCUCUCUGGUCUGUAACUGACGCUGAGGCGCGAAAGCGUGGGGAGCGAACAGGAUUAGAUACCCUGGUAGUCCACGCCGUAAACGAUGAGUGCUAAGUGUUAGAGGGUUUCCGCCCUUUAGUGCUGCGGCAAACGCAUUAAGCACUCCGCCUGGGGAGUACGGUCGCAAGACUGAAACUCAAAGGAAUUGACGGGGGCCCGCACAAGCGGUGGAGCAUGUGGUUUAAUUCGAAGCAACGCGAAGAACCUUACCAGGUCUUGACAUCCUUAUGCCAUCCCUAGAGAUAGGGCUUUCCCUUUUAGGGACAUAAGUGACAGGUGGUGCAUGGUUGUCGUCAGCUCGUGUCGUGAGAUGUUGGGUUAAGUCCCGCAACGAGCGCAACCCUUGAUCUUAGUUGCCAGCAUUCAGUUGGGCACUCUAAGGUGACUGCCGGUGUCAAACCGGAGGAAGGUGGGGAUGACGUCAAAUCAUCAUGCCCCUUAUGACCUGGGCUACACACGUGCUACAAUGGAUGGUACAAAGGGCAGCGAAACCGCGAGGUUAAGCCAAUCCCAUAAAACCAUUCUCAGUUCGGAUUGCAGGCUGCAACUCGCCUGCAUGAAGCCGGAAUCGCUA
This 768-nucleotide ribosomal RNA is filed under the name uncultured bacterium. Its description in RNAcentral is "bacterial SSU rRNA". It matches the Rfam family "Bacterial small subunit ribosomal RNA", at positions 571 to 1337 of the family's 1533-position model. The record is from RNAcentral.